UACGUAGGGGGCAAGCGUUGUCCGGAAUCAUUGGGCGUAAAGCGCGUGUAGGCGGCCCAGUAAGUCCGCUCUGAAAGCCCGGGGCUCAACCCCGGGAGGCGGGUGGAUACUGCUGGGCUAGAGUACGGAAGAGGCGAGUGGAAUUCCCGGUGUAGCGGUGAAAUGCGCAGAUAUCAGGAAGAACACCCGUGGCGAAGGCGGCUCUCUGGGACGGUACUGACGCUGAGACGCGAAAGCGUGGGGAGCGAACAGG
Molecule: ribosomal RNA, 253 nt
Filed under: uncultured bacterium
Lineage: Bacteria
Description: partial 16S ribosomal RNA
Rfam family: Bacterial small subunit ribosomal RNA
Source: RNAcentral